GGAGCAAUGAUAUAACAAAAAACAAUGGAAGAAAAGGGCUUGAGGCUAUCUUUAACAUAAAUAUUAUGUUUCAGCUCCAACAUUAUGGUUGCUCAGUUUCUUCAGAAAGCAACUCAUGGAGAAGUACAAACCACAGUUAGAAAGUUGAGAGAUUUCAAUGAGAAGCACAGGACCUUUAAGUCACAUGGUUACCUUCAGAAUGCACUCACCAAUUGGUACAGUUAUGAAACCUCUAGAAGUCAUCCAUUCUUGUAUAGACUUACUCUCCUGGCAUGUCUACUUGCUAUGAAACAGCUGUUUAGUCAUGUUGCCAAGAAGAAAAGAAGACAGAAUGCCUCUAGAUAAAGAAAUGCUAUUCCUAUGUCAACUUGCUAUGCAAAGUGUGGACUGUGGACCAGCAGCAUGUGUGUCGCCUGGCAGCUUGUUGCAAAUGCAGAAUCUGAAGCUCUCAUCUAGACCUACUAAACAGACUUCACUUUAACAAUAUAACCGGGCAAGUCAUAUAGUCAUUAAAAUUUGAGAAGUAUGAUCUAGCAUAGAUAUUACUUCAUAAUAAAUGUUUAAUGUUUCAGUUACUAUUGCUGCAUAGCAAAACACCCCAAAAUUAAUGACUUAAAAUGACAACUACCACUUUAUUGUGAGGAAUUCAGGAAAGGCUCAUUUGGGUGUUUGGCUUAUGAUCUUUCAUAUGGGUGCAGUCAGACAAUGUCUGGAUCUGGGACUCUGGUGGACUGAAGCACCUGGUCACUGGUCUGACAUCUUUUUUUCUUCUUAUACAAUCUCAGGGCCUCUCUAUGUAAUCUUGCUGCUAGGCUAGUUUGGGCUUCCCAAAGCCUGGUAGCCUGAGGUCAGUUGGACUGCUUACACAUGGCCGAUGGCUUCAAAAAGGAGUACUCUAGUGGAGAGAGCACAAGUUGCUUGGCUUUUCUGAUCUAGCCUUAGAAGUCACUUCUGCCAUGCUCUAUUUGUUGAAACACUGUAAAACAUCAUCAGUUUGAAGGAGACAGUAUAUACACCUUACCUCUUCAUGGGAGGAUUGUCAAAGUCUCUCUGUAAGAAGAGCAUAGUAUAGGAGAUAUUGUUGUAGCCACCUUUGCAAAAUACAAUUGACACACUUAAUAUUUAUAACUAUUGCCUUUACUCCUUUAUUGUGUAGAUGUAAAUCAGUGAUUAAUUCCAGGUUAAAGGUACUUUUUGGCAUGCUCAAUAGCCGUCUUUACUUUACAGGAGGAGGUAGAGUACCAGAUGGCUUUUCCAAAAGGCAUGCUGAAAAUUAUUAGUAGUUUGAUAAAGAUUCUGAUGAAUUCCUCAAGGCUAAAUGCAGUGCUGAAUUUUCCUUUGUCAUCUUCUUUGAUCUUCUCAGUGAGAAAUUAUCUCAUCUUCUUCCAAAGCCCAUUAGAAUGUUGCCUAUUUUAAAAGUUGAGUUCUUCAUAUCAUAAAUUAAAUAUUAUGUCUAAAGAGUUUCUGGCAUAUGCUACAUACUCAAUGAUUGCAGGUAUUUUCAUUAAACCUAUUUAUAUAUAUUUCUUACCUCCUUCUCCUUUCUUUUCCUGGUGAACUGCAAUUCCUUUAGAAGCCAAUUCUGAAUUUCUAGGCAGAACAGUCAUAGUUUUCUUUCGGUUUCAAACUAAUUUAAACCCCAAAAACCAGUAUUCAUG
This 1658-nucleotide long non-coding RNA is filed under the name Homo sapiens (human). RNAcentral's name for it is "non-protein coding LINC02499:10". Lineage: Eukaryota; Metazoa; Chordata; Mammalia; Primates; Hominidae. The record is from RNAcentral.